RNAcentral lists this long non-coding RNA (2271 nucleotides) under Phaseolus vulgaris (common bean). RNAcentral describes it as "long non-coding RNA (PVUL_LNC004174)". Lineage: Eukaryota; Viridiplantae; Streptophyta; Magnoliopsida; Fabales; Fabaceae. The record is from RNAcentral.
AAAACUUUUAAUUUUAACGGAGGUUUGUUAAUAGAGGUUCUAAUAACCCCAGAUAAUACAUGUGCAUAUCGAGGGUUUUUUAAACCUCUGGUAAAUUUCCAUGAUUAUUUAAGAAACCACAAUAAAAUUACAUAUUCUAAUUUUCCACCUCAUUUUUUUCACUUUCAAAGUUUUUCAUACACUGGUUUUGUUGGAGGACUGAAUUUUUGGAGGAAGCACAGUUUCAGACACGGUACAUUCCUUUAAACAAUUUUUUUCUUUCUGUAUAGUCCUAGAAAACGUUCCCGUUCAAAAUUCAAAUUAACUCUUCCCAUUUUCAUCUUUCAAACAGAAUUAAUAUCUUUUGGAGAAUUUUUGGCACACAAAGAUUUCUCUGUUCUUGUACUACGGCUCCAAUUGAUGAUUUAUUUGAUCCUAUUUGAUUUCUCUAAAUUGGUUUCUUUCCCCAUUUCUCAUGCCCUAUUUCUUUGCCUACCGCUUUGUGAUGCGUUUUUCUUUCGGUGUUGCGUUUAAUGGUGAGUUUUCUUUCCAGCGGUGCAUUUCACUAGUUCGGAAUCAUUUUUUGGAACACUCUCUCGGGUUCGUUUUUCGUUUCGCUCUUCUUUAGUUUUUGCUCUUCUUACAACAUAGAGGGAAAGAGUUAUUUGAUGUUUAAAAGGAAUGAAUGAGUUUUAUGGAAACAUAGGGUGACAAAGGUGUUAAGUUUUUAUUAAAGCAGGGAUUUAUUUUGUGGUUGCAUUUUGCCCUGUUGCGCAGGAAUAUUGGAGCAUGUGAUUGUGGCGAGGAAUGGAAGGCUUCAGGUUGAGAAGUAGAUGGUAAGGUCUUCAAAUUUGAUAGUAUCCUUAAGAAAAUGUUUGUGAGGAGUUCUCUCUUUCGUGGAGAAAUUGACGAAAAAAUUGGGCAUACGGUUCCUUAUUAGUUAGUUACUAACUAAAUUUUGAUGUGAAUUUUAUCUAAAUAAUUAAGUUGUUGAUUUGGUCCAAUCUCACAUUUAUGUAUUGGAAUAACAUUGAUUUAUGGAAAAUCGUGCGGCUAUAGAUAUUAUGAAUGAUAUUUUCUGAUAAAAAAAAAUACUAAGAACAGUGAGAAAGAGAUGUGUUAUUGAAAAUCAUGCAUGCAAUAUUUUUCCUCUCCCCUUCUUCUUAUUGGAUUGUUGAUUCAUUAAUCUAAUUAGACUUUGAAAUUCUGAAAAUGCUGGCCAUGAUGCAUCACAUGAAACUAGCAGAUUGUGACCAACAGGUUGCAUUAUACCAUAUAGUUUUCUUAGGUUAGAUGAGUUUUUGAGGAGUUUAACAAGUUCUAUAAUAACUCUUUUCCUUGUUUCCCCUGAAGUAUGUGUAUAUAUGUGUUAUAUAAUAAUUAUACUUGAAAUAUAAUUUGUUUGUUUGAUAUCUUUUAUAUACAUAAUAUUGAUUUGCUGAUAAAAAAAUUAAAAUAUAUUUAAAUCUUACAAUUAAUUAGUAAUGGUAUCCAUACUGUAAAUAAAUAUAUUAAGUAUCCAUAAACACUGCAAUAUGUGUAAAAUAUGUAAACACUGCUUAUGAGCCUGUGAAUUUAGACUGAUAUUACAAGGAUCUGUAUUUUCACUCAUGUUUCUUGCACCAUCUUUUAUAUCUCAUUUUCUUUAUCUCUCGGGUGGCUGACUCCAAAAAGAUAUCAAAUAACUCUUUCCUACAAGUGAUUUAUAAUGAAGUAUACAAUUAUAUCAACAAAUUAUAAUACUAACCUCUUAUAAAACCUUACUAGACUACUUAAAUUUUACUUAAAAUAAUUUUAUUUUCUUAAUUAAAAUUGAAUCCUUUUUAUAGUCAUUGGUAUGUUAGUUUUAAUGGAUCUUGUUUAUAAUUUUGCCAGGUUGCCCCGUAAUUCUUCCAAGGAAAAGUGAAUUUGUGCUCUUGUUGCUACAAGGAAAUAUCAUAUUCUGGUUGUAGUUUUCAUAUAGUUCUGAAUGGUGUCAUCAACAUUAUGCUAAAGUUGGAAGUAUUAGGAACUGAAAUUUGUUUUUAAAUUAGAAUAAAUAAUGUAGUAUUAGUUUAACUAUAAUAUAUAUAUAUAUAUAUAUUCCUAUGGUAUGAAAAAUAUUUAAUAGUUUACUGUAGACUCUGCACAUACAAUAGAUUAGUUCUUUGUAAAACUAUUACCGAAUUUACAUUUUGUAUGUGCAGAAUAUUUACUAAAUAGUUUGGAUGCUAUGCUUCCUAGUUUCUAGUAAGAAAAAGAACAUAUACAUAUUAUGUUAUAAAAGUAAUGAGAUCAAUGGAUGAGUCCAGA